This 945-nucleotide long non-coding RNA is filed under the name Vigna radiata. RNAcentral's name for it is "long non-coding RNA (VRAD_LNC005560)". The record is from RNAcentral. Lineage: Eukaryota; Viridiplantae; Streptophyta; Magnoliopsida; Fabales; Fabaceae.
GACUAGCACGAUUUGAGCUGCAACAUAAUGCAGAUCACAACAGGCUUAAGGCAGUAGGCAGCAGUGUUUACGACAAACAAAAAGAAAGCAAUGCUCAAAAUGUAUGUAUGCAUUGGCAGUGUGGAAAGUUUAGGCUCAUCUUGCUAAAAUCCCUAUGCAGAGUUGCAUACAUUCAUCAAAGAGGAAAGAUUUUGAAUGUUUCUUUGGUCAAUUGAUACAAUGAGUACACGAGAAAAGGAAAAAGACGAAAAAGAAAUCUCAAGUCAGAGGAUACGCCUGAAUGAUCCAAGAGGCAUGGGGAAUUGGCUUCAUUAGAACCCAGCAGGACAGUCAGGGGGGAGGACCACGCCUUAGAGAGAACCUCGACCAUCACCAUUAGAGAAUAAGAGCACAACAAGAACAGCACGAGAGGACACUGGGGAACAUUUUUCUUAUCCAUCGCCUUACCAUAAGAGAAAUUAGAGAGUGACCACCAUCAUUCACCAUUCACUACCGGGAGGAGACAGUGAUAUAGUUAUUCACUCCUCACUGAAUCAAGGGAUCAUCACCCAUUCCUUGGGAGAGAACAUCGUUCACCUGCAAAGAGAAGGGAAGAACACGUCAGCCAGAGGAAGAGGAAAGAGAUCGUCGGAGAUAUUAGACUAACAAUAGCAAAGGAAGCUUCGAGAGGUAAGCAUCACCUCCCUCAUUAUUGUUGUCAUGCUCUAAUAUACUGGGUUUGUUGCAUUGUAUACUUUGUUGCAUGUUUGUGGUUGCUCUAUUCGCGUAUGUUGUGUUGAUAUUCCAUUAUACUUCUUAUCUAUUAAACUUCUCCAUAAGAAUUUCAUCAUGGCUAAUGAGCUUCAGAACGAGACCACCAUUUUCUUGCACAUCUCUUAGCCUCCGGGACUUUGAGGCUUCCUCCCCUUUACUUAGAAACCAGCUCAUCUAGAAAUAACAAAAACC